RNAcentral lists this small nucleolar RNA (82 nucleotides) under Sclerotinia sclerotiorum 1980 UF-70. Lineage: Eukaryota; Fungi; Ascomycota; Leotiomycetes; Helotiales; Sclerotiniaceae. The record is from RNAcentral.
UUAUAUGAUGCAUAAACAACCAUACUUGUGACUAGACUUCACGUCGAUGUUGUCCAAAUUAAUCAUCUUUCGGGUCUGACAA